GGUCUUUAGUUUUUAAUUUAAGAUCAGGCCUGCCCAUUGAUUUGAAAGAUUAAAAGGCUGCGGUAUUUUAACUGUACGAAGGUAGCAUAAUCAUUUGUCUUUUAAUUGGAGGCUAGAAUGAAUGGUUUGAUGAGAAAUAGACUUUCUUUUUUUAAUUUAUAUUAAUUUAAUUUUUUAGUUAAAAAGCUAAAAUUUUUUUAUAGGACGAGAAGACCCUAUAGAAGUUUACUAUAUUAAUAAUUCUUUAUUUUUUGUUGUUAAAAUAUUUUUUUAAAUUAUAUAGUUUUGUUGGGGUGACAUUAAAAUUUAUUAAACUUUUAAUUAUUUUUUCAUUAAUUUAUGUUUUUUUGAUCCAAUAUUUAUUGAUUAUAAGUUUAACUUACCUUAGGGAUAACAGCGUAAUUUUUUCGGAGAGUUCAUAUCGAUGAAUAAAGUUUGCGA
This 441-nucleotide ribosomal RNA is filed under the name Limnogonus hungerfordi. RNAcentral describes it as "partial 16S large subunit ribosomal RNA". The record is from RNAcentral. Lineage: Eukaryota; Metazoa; Arthropoda; Insecta; Hemiptera; Gerridae. RNAcentral also lists the same sequence under 1 other name.